Small nuclear RNA from Macadamia integrifolia, 121 nucleotides. The record is from RefSeq and is a predicted model, not a curated record. NCBI's taxonomy places the organism in Eukaryota, Viridiplantae, Streptophyta, Magnoliopsida, Proteales, Proteaceae.
GUGUUUUCAAGGAGAGACGGUUGGCAUCUCCCCUGACAGGGAUGGGAACAGCUUUCGGGCUUACCUGUUAACACAUCUGGUUAAGGCUACCCAUUUCAGUGGAUCUUCACCUUUUUUUUUU